UCUCCCUGCUGCUGCCUCACUGCGUGAGAAGGUUGGGAUGCUUCAGCUGACCUCCCCUCCCAUUAUACUUUCCCUGAAAGAAGGGCUUGAGAUCCUUGAAUGAAAAGGCAUGUACUGGCUACCUCACCUAAAAUACCUUUGCUUAUGUCUUUGUAACAGGCACUGCCAAAAUUAUAUCCUCCUCCUGGCGUAGCCACCAUGUCCACAAGAAGCAGUGUUAUAUCUUAGGCAGAAGAGGUUAUUUAUUUACACACCCGCAGCUGUUUCCAGGUGCAGGAGCCGUGCAGUGCAGAAAAGGCACACAUGCUGAUCCCGGGUCUCUGUCCAUGAGCAGAGAGAUGAGGUGCAGCCUUUGAUGUUAAUGCAGAAAAUGUCUUUCAUCAGUGCAAGCCCAGCAGUUGUCUUGAAAAUGUUUUCCAUUGGUUUGAUGGUUUGCUUUCCAACUCUGUGAGCUGGCAACCCAAAAGGUAUGUUGGAAUCCAUACGGAUGCUGCGUCUCUGUGGAGACUUCCCCAUGACCCAUUUUCUGGUUCAAAGAUAAUCUUGCUUUUCGUCACAAUUUGGAGCAGUUCCACUUGGCUGUUGGACUCAAGAUACUCUCGCUCCCUACGCCCUGCCAAGGUGAUAUGCCAAAUAUGCAUCUUUUUUUUGAUUCAGCCUUGCGAUUACUUCACUUUAGAAAAAAAUUGUGUAAAUGACAGCCUGGAAGAUUAGAAAUUGUUUUUCAGAGGUCAAGGGGAGUAAUUGAAUUUGUAGUCACUUUCAUUGAAGUUAGGAAAACCAGAGUGUUAAGGCAAGCCAUCAUUGCGUUUGCUGGAAGAGUUACUGAAGAGUAUGUAUUUCAUGUUUGUGUAUUCACUUUUGCUUUUUUAGAAGGUGUUGCUGUGUCGUCUUUGCAGUUAGUCUUCAGCCGUCACAAACCCUGCCUAAGCAAAGAUGUGAAUUUUUAGCGCAGAACAAAAAAUGAAACAUCAGAGCAGAGGUACAAAGUGGUGAAAAGAAAACUAAUCCUCCUCGCCCACCUGGCCAUCUUCACCCAUCAUAAAGAUGCAAAACUAGGGCACAAAUCCUAUUUAUUUUCCCUUGGGAGGUCACUCCUAGCUGGCUUUACAGAGGCCCAACUUGUGUCUUUGCCACCCAGAAAGCUUUGAAAUACCACUUCCAGAGAUGAGAGAUCUUGUCUCUGUAAGUUGCAGGUAACAGUCCCCCUCCAGGCUCUGCCCAAUGGAUUUUGACCUGUGUAUUGCAUCCUGCGCUGCUUGAACAAAACUGCAUCUGCUUGUAUUUUCAGCAUAAUGUCCUCUGAUUGAUAACUCUCAAGUCUUCAGUCAUCCCAAAAUCACGUUUGCAAGAGGACUGAUUAAUGAAUGUCUCUGCUGCUGAGGGAAAUGUCAUUUCUUCUUUGGUGUAAUCUUUGGAAUAACUUCCUAAAAACAAGAACAAAGAACAACAAAAAAGGCCCCGAGAUGCAGGUUCCGUGGCUGAUCUUUCCUUCCCUUUAUACCACAAGACAAAUUAUCCUGUAUGUACAUCCACAAUACAUGCCCUAAUCUGUAACGGAGUAUCAGACUAAUUUUCUUUCCAAAAUGUCAUUCUUAAAGCCAAGGAAACGCCAACACUGCGCCCUGCUCCCUACGCCUACCUUUACCUGCUGCAGCGUGGCUGGCAGUCCUGCUGCACAACUGCUCCCAUCAGGGCCGUGGGCCUCGGCGUCCAAGGAACCAGGGCUUUUAUCUCAUGCCUGGGGAAUUCAAGCACUUGCCUUCCUUUCCGUUAAUCUGGUGAACGAGGGAGAGCUUGGAGACAAGCCUCCACCCAGAAUGGUUUUUUUAGCCUCUUGGUGCUGCAGCCUCCCAGGACAAAGGCAACAGAAGGAGUGCGUGGGUGCAGAGCAGGACAUAUCGCCACCACUGCUCGGCAUCCCAAAAGAAGCACAGUGCCUGUUCAGUUGUGAAGAGCCGUGGAUGGAGCCACCUCUUGAAGAGAAGCGAUGGGGGCUACGCGUCCCAGAAAGGCUGAGGCGUUUCCAUACAACUCUGUCGCAGCCCUGGGCGUUCAGCUGCAGGCAUCUCGCAGCUCAGCGGGCUGGUUAGUGAGACUUCUCCCCAUCCUUGGAUGGGGUGCCUGGACGUGUUAACCACUCCCUGGAGGAGGACCGCUUAACGGUUAGAGCUUUCAGUGCCAAAAUCCUUUAUUAGGCAGCCUUCAGGUUGCUGGUGGGCUGCACGGCUCCUUGAAGCUGCAGCUCCUAAUCCUCGGCGCUGGGAGGUGGAUGCACGCAGGUACUCCCGGCACGCUGUGCUUUCCAGGAAGCUCCUGAAGCAGAGGCAGCAUAUGGCUGUGCCUCUGAAAGGGAAGUAAGCAGACACGGGACUUGGACAAACUGCAGGUUUUCUCGUUCUACGCACGCCAAUUUGCUCCCCACUGGAGAAGAGUAAGGGCUUUAGCUCUCCAAUCAGUCUCAGGAGAUCCUUCAGUCUCCAAGGCUGCACACCAGCUUCUGGACCAGCCAGCUUCUGCCUGCUUCUGUAGGAGUUCUGCUCAGAGCUGAUCACCCUCAGUAGUGCUGUAAAGAUGAAAGGAUGACUUACAGUCAGUACUUUCCUGCAAGUUAUGACAAGUUGCGAGAGAAGGCCAGCCUGUGUUUUUUGGAAGAUGAUGAGAGCGUGCUCUCAUUUGCUGGUACCACAGCCACCGUAGUGAAGGCAGGGGCUACUUUACUCAGCAGCUGUUACUUCCGAGAGCUUUGUAACUGUUGUCCAAACUUGAAUCAACUGAAGUCGCUGUGCCUCAGCGGUGGGUCUGAGGCAGCAUCAGUGAUUCAGAAUUCAGGUGGAGUGAGGAAGCAAUUACCCAAAUACAGGUCCUACCACCCCUUCCCUCCUCCCCACGCGGUGUCACAUAAAAAAGAUACGUGCUCAGCGGUGGGAUCAGAAUAUGGCUCCGAUUCUUCCACAGUUCCUGAGGAUUAGUCGCAGCUAGUGUCUGGCAGUCAUCAUCUCUCUGGACAGAGAUCUCAUCACUACGCUCCUGUCGCUUUGGCUCAAGCUGUAGAGAAAGGAAUAGCUUUUGGCACGUACGCAGCUGGAAUGAGCUUUCAUUGGCAGCUGGAGGCUCGUUAUUGCGCCUUCCCUUCUCGCUCCCUGAUCUAAUGAGGCUGCUGGUGAGGAGAUGGGAUCAGAUGCCACAGCCCUCGCAUCUUCCUUACACGGUGCUCGGAGAGGGCAGGACUUGCGUGGUGCCCCUGGGCUGCUCCUGGGGUUUUCUCUUGCUGAGAAGCUUGGGGUUCUGGCCCACACGCUCUCUGAGAGCUGGGAUGUCAGUGUGCUCCCACGUCCCUGUACAAGUAUGCACUUUAUCUGAAUACUAUUUUCAAAAAAAUACUUCAAAUAGAAGGUAAAAAGUAAGUGCUGCUGAGCUGGAGAUGCAGUUAUGCAGCACAUCUCCUUGCUCCUUUCCUGGCUGUCAGGAAGACACAUGAAGACUAGCCGCUGUCGGAUCUCUCAUCAGAACCCCACGAUGGAAAUCCGUCUUGAUGUGGGGGAGUGUUGAAAAGCUGUUGGCCAGAUCUCCCUUCAUGGGACAAGGCUGAGGGAGUUGAACUUAAGAGCGCAGCGCCAUGAAAUAAUACAGUGAUUUCUUCCCAUGGAUGUAGUGACUAACAGUCAUAAACAACUUGGUUCCAGUCCUCUGCUAUCAACCUUAAAGAGGGGGGGGGGAAAAAAUUGAAGCAGCAAAAAGAGUGGCUCUGCAAUGAGUACACAAAAUAGAUGACAUGCAUUUUCUCCUUCCGUAUUGGAGAGGCCAUAUGAAGAAGCAGAAGUGACCUUGGGUUUUUUUGUAAUGUUUGUCCAGCCUGAUUUUUAUCCCAUUUGUGUAUCCUUUAGUUCCAUAAAUACAAGAGCACUGUAUACUUUAAUAAAUGCAUGCUAAUGCCCUGCAGAUAAUGGGGUGACAUCGUCUCUUUGAAGAAACAUCCUCCAUAUGAUUGUCAAUCUUUUCACUGAGAGCAAGCAGGUAGCAAGCACACGUGACACGGGUGAAUACGCUAGGCUCAUCCGAGUACCGAGGCAAGUUUUUAUGCAGUAAGAACUUCAUGAAAAUACAGGAAUGAGGAUGUGAAGCGAAGCGCAGUACUGGGCAAGGUACCGUAUUGCCUCAGAAGGGAGAACUGACAAGUAAGACGUAAGUCCCAGUUUUGAAGCUAUUUCUUUGCCUGACGUUGGUGUCUGUGCUCGUGGAAAGGGCAAGAGGCAGCCAUCAGCCAGAAGUCAAAGGGUUACACCUUCAGCCUUCUUAAAACCCAUCCUUGGGGAUAAAGUCACAUCCCUUUGCCUGCUCCGUUCAUUCAAAUGGUGACUCUGUAAGGACAAUUCCGACAGUGCCAGGCAGCAAUAAGAUUAACCACUUUCUCAUUUGCAGGAUGCCAGCAGCUGGUCUCACCAAUUUCAGGCCCCAUCAAAUUAACGAUCAGCUCUCUUUUAUUCUCUUACUGGCAGGAUUGCUCAGCCCAGGCUAUCUGAAAGGACCAGGAUCAUUGUCCCAUGCAGAUGCAGGGAACACCCUCGUUUACAGUGAUGUUAGGCGUUUUUCUCCUUCACACUGAGCUGUGUAAUGUGGCCAGGAGGUUGCUCUCAAAGGGGAAAUUAUUUUUUCAGGGGGAGAGGAGGCAAGAUGGCUCCACCACACGUACCAGGCAGCGUGGGUUAGCAGCAGAGCAAGCGGUGCUCACGGGUAGCCAGCCUGAACAGCGCCAGCAAGGCUAUGUUGGAAAGGCUGCUUUUGGGGAAUCCCCAGAGGGGGGAAGGAGCAAGCGUGGAUUUCCCUAGCCUGGGAUCCAGCUGCACAUCUGCACCAGAGCUCCCAGCUGCCUCGGACUUCUCUUGGCACUCUCCUUCCACUCAGCUUUUUGAGGUUCGUGGUGUCUCUGGUGGCUUUUGACUGUAUGAUGUUUUGGAGUAUAUGGCUUAUGGGGUCAGGACAGCUGUUUACAUCAACUCUAGUGAAUCCUGAACUAGGAAGUACUCUCUGUGACACCAAAAUUUUGAUGAAGAUGGAAUAUUCUCUGGAUCUGGAAAAUGAAGAGGUGGAACAAGGAGAGAUUCUACCUGUACGCGGCAGGUGGUGCCUGGGCCCAGAACAACUCAGGAUCCCAAUACCAGCCUUGCUACGGCUUGCAGAAAAACUAGUUGGCUCGGUUCUAUGGGUUUUCUUCACUUGUUGGUUUGUGGGUUGGUUUGGUGUUUUUUUCUUUCCAUGUGUUUAAGUAUAUAUGUCCUCUCUGCUUGCUGUAUGAAAAAGUCAUUAGGAGAACUAAACUGAAUAACUAGGUCUGUUUUGCUCUUAAGCAGUUUUUGCUGUGCCUCCUUCAUGCAGUUUGAGUCUCUUCUCCCUCCUCCUUUGUUAUAAAACACAGAUGAGUGCCAAUGUUGUUUUCCAAAUCAGAACAAGAAAUCUGACUUACAGCCCGAAGUGUAAUACGCACAAUACUGCCAAGGGAUAAGAUUUUGAAUGUUCUGAAGUAAUUGCUGUCACGUGCUAUAAACUGAAACAUGCAUCAUGUUUUUAGAGCGUAAAGAUCACUCUGAAGUCAUCAGUGAACAUGACCAGGCUCUGGAGGACGGAGGUGGAUGCAGCUCCACAGCUGGCAGACCGCACAGGUCUUCCUGUGGUGCAGCGGCAACGCGUUCAGCAUGCAGGAGACAGAUCCCAGUGACUCGUCUGCCUUUCUUGGGAAAGGGUGCUGCAGUUUCUCUUCUCCCUCCUGCAGAGCUCACGAUGAUGUGAUGUGGCAGGCUUCUAGGAUAGGAGCCAGUGGAAGGGGAAAGUCUCUUGACGUGGGAAUCCUGACUACCACGAGAGAAGCUAGUGGAAGGAGUCGAUAGUUGCUGCUCCUUGCUGCAGUUGCCAGGGUGUGAACAGAUAAGCAAGUCUGUUUCUGUCCCCUCAGUAUCUACUCAAGACACCGGAGAUCCCAGUUUUCCUCUGUACUUGCAAUGGAAAUAAGAAACAGGUGUUUUGGUUUUUUAGUGCUAAAGUACGUACUGCCCAGGCCCAGUCGAAACCAAGUUACGUGGGAAAGCCUCCCUCAUCUCACCUCACAGGGGUGUAUAACAGCGAUGCGGCAGCUUGGGGAAGGCUGAGUGCCAUUUCUUGUCUGGGCUAGUCAGGUCCUCUAAGGCAUCCCACCAACGCUUAAAGCCUUCUGCCUACACAUUGGUCUCUGCCCUGCACCCGACCGAUGACAAAUAUAGCCCAGCCGUUCUGGGCUUGGAAAGAUCUGCUUUUCUGCAGGCUUACUGUAUGAAUAGAAAAUCACGCCAAGCCCAUGCUCACAGCUGGAUUCAGAGGGGUCUCAGCCAGGGAUAAAUAAGAAAUACAAGCCAUGAAACUUCACCCAAUGUCUCAGGUACUUGAAAGGCCGUAUGCAGCAAAGUCUUUUCCAGUAAAUCUCCUCCGGUCCUUGGAGCUCAGUUCUGCUUCGGUUUGGCAGGGCUGGGUAUGCCCUAACCUGCCUCUCCUUUACUGCCUCUUGUUUGCUCUUGUUUUCCUCUGUGGCUGGCAGGCACCUUACUGAACUGCUCCCAGAUGCUUUUCGGGGGCAGUGGUGUCUUCCCCCCUCUCUGUAAGGGCAGCCAAGGGCUCUGACACCUAUGCCAAGCCAGGCCCUGCAAAACCAGACUUUAGUACCACCUGCUAGGCUACCUGAAUAAACGCCAGCAGCUUCCAGAGGUGGCAGGACCGAAAAGUCAGUCACCGUAUCGCUUGCGAUAAAUGCUUUUGAACAUCGAAGUUCUGUGUGGUAUGCCUGGCAGGUGAGGUAGAGAGGCUUCAGGGGCUCCUCAGACAGCUUGCAGAACUCACCACUGCUUUCACAACUGGCAAGCAGGAUUGCUUCAGCUGCCUCCCACUCACGCCAGAAAAGCUUCACACCUCUCUGUCCGAAGACAGCUAUAGAUUCCACGAAAGCUGCGGCAACAGAAGCUGCUCGGGUGAAUUAAGCAGUUCCAUCCACGAGCCUACCAGGUCUCUUACGCCUGAAGAUUAAUGGCCACUUUCACAGAAGCUGUGGAUUAAUGUAAAUGUCACCGCCUUGUAAAUAAGACAGCGUUGCUUUGUCCCACUUCCUCAAAACUAGGUAGGGAUCCACCUUUCAUUUUAAUGGUCUGAAUUUUGCAAUUGCUAUAUCCCCUUCAAGUGGAUUUUUCCACUGCUGUGUGGUUUUGAAUAUGUUCCUAAUCACGCUUGACAUGUCAGCUGCUGUCUUCGGUGUGGUUGCUAGCAUUUUUAAUGGGUACUCUAUUUACGGAGAAAGCAGCUGCCAGACUGGAAGGAAAAUCUUGCUCUCAUUAUUUUGUUAUUGAAAUAACUUGCACUGAAAUAAAUCUAAUAAA
Molecule: long non-coding RNA, 7394 nt
Organism: Grus americana (Whooping crane)
Lineage: Eukaryota; Metazoa; Chordata; Aves; Gruiformes; Gruidae
Exons: 3
Source: RefSeq, a predicted model, not a curated record